Molecule: ribozyme, 117 nt
Filed under: Aedes aegypti (yellow fever mosquito)
Lineage: Eukaryota; Metazoa; Arthropoda; Insecta; Diptera; Culicidae
Description: drz-agam-1 ribozyme
Rfam family: drz-agam-1 ribozyme
Source: Rfam by way of RNAcentral
UGCCCAGCAACUUCUAUCCCUACCUCCUCGUGGUACUGGCCGGGGUACGAGUAACCUUGGGGAAGAUCGGGUAACCAACCCCCGGUGGGAACUUUAGUCGUAUGCUGACAGGGAAGG